Molecule: unclassified non-coding RNA, 331 nt
Organism: Panthera pardus (leopard)
Lineage: Eukaryota; Metazoa; Chordata; Mammalia; Carnivora; Felidae
Gene: 7SK
Rfam family: 7SK RNA
About the family: 7SK was discovered as an abundant small nuclear RNA in the mid-70s but a possible function has only recently been suggested.
Source: Ensembl
GGAUGUGAGGGCGAUCUGGCUGCGACAUCUGUCACCCCAUUGAUCGCCAGGGUUGAUUCGGCUGAUCUAGCUGGGUAGGCAGGUGUCCCCUCCUUCCCUCACCGCUCCAUGUGCAUCCCUCUCAAAGCUGAGUGCUCGGUCGAAGAGGACAACCUUCUCCGAUAAUGGAGUGCCAUUCUUCUGUCAAGGGUAUACGAGUAGCUGUGCUCCCCUGCUAGAACCUCCAAACAAGCUCUCAAGGUCCAUUUGUAGGAGAACGCAGGGUAGUCAAGCUUCCAAGACUCCAGACACAUCCAAAUGACGCGUUGCACGUGGCAGUCUGCCUUUCUUA